This 332-nucleotide ribosomal RNA is filed under the name uncultured Glomeromycotina. Its description in RNAcentral is "eukaryotic LSU rRNA". The record is from RNAcentral. Lineage: Eukaryota; Fungi; Glomeromycota.
CAGUCAUACCAACGGGAAAUCAACCUUUUGAGCUCGGUCUCGUGGGUUUUGAAGAGUUUCAAAGCCUUCGGAUUCGCGGGAUUGGGAUCUCUUGGUGUACUUUUUCGUACGGUUAGUCAACAUCGGUUUUGAAUGUCAUAAAAUGACUGGAGGAAUGUAGCUUCGAUCUCGUAUUGAAGUGUUAUAGCCUUUGGUAGAUGUGAUGUUUGAGACCGAGGAUUGCAACGGAUACCCUUCAGGGCUAUUCGUCUGAUCUCUGAUACGUUGCCUUGAUGUUGAAAGCUUGCUUAUGAUGUUAGGGUAUUACGGUCAAAAGGUUAGAACGAAUUACA